CGGGUAAUAGCCCAGUGGCAGAGCUCCCGCUUCGUAUGCGGGAAGACCUGAGUUGGAUUCCCGGCUGCCUGC
RNAcentral lists this transfer RNA (72 nucleotides) under Toxocara canis (dog roundworm). It matches the Rfam family "tRNA". From Rfam's summary of the family: Transfer RNA (tRNA) molecules are approximately 80 nucleotides in length. Their secondary structure includes four short double-helical elements and three loops (D, anti-codon, and T loops). Lineage: Eukaryota; Metazoa; Nematoda; Chromadorea; Rhabditida; Toxocaridae. The record is from Rfam by way of RNAcentral.